CAACACUACUAGCAAUCCAUUCUUUUCUAACAAUAAGGGCCCGUUUGUUUUGGUGUAAGUGGAGUGAUGGAACUCAAAUUCCAUCACUUUCGUUAUUUGUUUUGAUGUAAGUGAAAAAUAUAAUAUAACUCAAGUUACGUUAGAGCUCCACUUCACCUACUCUCGACUUCCUCCUCUAAAGUGCCGAACUCGACUUUCACUACACUCAACCUUCUCUAAAAAAUUUAUUAAACAGUAAAACCUAAAUUCUACUUCCUUUAUAAUGGGUUAGAAUUACCUUAUUUAUAAUAAAUUAGGAUUAUCUUUAAAUAAUAAUAAAAAAAUUAAUUAUAUAAUAGAUUAAAUUUUAUAAUGGUAAAUUUAUUACUAUAUUUAAGAGAUAAUGAGAUCCACUUACUUACAUCAAAACAAACAACGGAACUUAAAAAACUAAUUUUAUCAGCACCAAGUUACAUAAAAACAAACAACAGAAGUGAUUGAAUUUAACUUUCAGGCGGUACGAAUUACGUCAAAACAAACAACAAAAAAAUAAUCACACUUCAGAAAAACUCAAACACCACUACACUUGACUUACGUUGAAUCUACAAAUACGUCAAUCCAAACGCCCCCUAAAUAUUACCGUAAAUAUUGUGACAUGUGACAAACUAUUGUGAUAAAAUAUACUUUACAACAAUUUAAUUCUUGAUACAAUAGAUUAAAUUAACAUAAUAAAAGAAUUUAUUAUAGUUAAUUCUUAUCCUUUCUCACUUUUUAUGAAACUGUUAUCAAGAAUUAAAAAGCAUCUAAUUAAUCAACACCUAAUUAUUGCACAAUUAAUAAUCUCAGACGAUUAUUUCGGAACAGUUGAAACAGUAUCUAACCAAUUUGAAUGGUACAGAAAUAUUCAUUUUCGUUCUGGGUGGGUAUGAAAUAGGACAAUAGUAGUUACUACUAUGAUUAAUAAUGCCGAGCUGCGUAAAAUAUUACCAAAAAUUUUCUUAUAAAUAUUUAUUUUUUAUUUUUUUAUUUUUAAAAAUUUAUAGUUUACCUUCUUAGUAUUUCAAGUUAUUAUAUUAAACCCCUUUUAGUCAGUGAUCACUAUUUUAUUAAUUUCUUAUAAUUUAUAUCAUAUUUUUUUUCAAAAUAAUAAAAAUAUAUUAAAAAUUAUUUUUUAUAAAAAAUAAGAAUAAUUUAGUCAUUUUAUCUUCUCCAUUAAUACCGUACUUCUCUAAAUAUAUUUCUAAAAUUUUAAAGAGGUAACAUAUAGAUUUUUGAAAGUUAAAAAGAGAAAAAAAAAAAGCAUAUAUUUAUAGAAAUAUUUUAUAUAAUUUAGCCUUUAAAAAAAA
This 1325-nucleotide long non-coding RNA is filed under the name Ananas comosus (pineapple). Its description in RNAcentral is "long non-coding RNA (ACOM_LNC009578)". Lineage: Eukaryota; Viridiplantae; Streptophyta; Magnoliopsida; Poales; Bromeliaceae. The record is from RNAcentral.